This 497-nucleotide ribosomal RNA is filed under the name uncultured bacterium. RNAcentral's name for it is "partial 16S ribosomal RNA". It matches the Rfam family "Bacterial small subunit ribosomal RNA", at positions 28 to 507 of the family's 1533-position model. The record is from RNAcentral.
GAUGAACGCUGGCGGCGUGCCUAAUACAUGCGAGUCGAGCGAACAGACGAGGAGCUUGCUCCUCUGACGUUAGCGGCGGACGGGUGAGUAACACGUGGAUAACCUACCUAUAAGACUGGGAUAACUUCGGGAAACCGGAGCUAAUACCGGAUAAUAUAUUGAACCGCAUGGUUCAAUAGUGAAAGACGGUUUUGCUGUCACUUCUAGAUGGAUCCGCGCCGCAUUAGCUAGUUGGUAAGGUAACGGCUUACCAAGGCAACGAUGCGUAGCCGACCUGAGAGGGUGAUCGGCCACACUGGAACUGAGACACGGUCCAGACUCCUACGGGAGGCAGCAGUAGGGAAUCUUCCGCAAUGGGCGAAAGCUUGACGGAGCAACGCCGCGUGAGUGAUGAAGGUCUUCGGAUCGUAAAACUCUGUUAUUAGGGAAGAACAAAUGUGUAAGUAACUAUGCACGUCGUGACGGUACCCAAUCAGAAAGCCACGGCUAACUACGUG